UGUGCUUAAUGAGGCCUCUGAUAUUGUGUGAAUCCUAAAAUUUGUAUUUAAUGCCUUAAGCGCUCUAAUUACAUCACAUGAUAUGUGAACAUUAUGUGUUUUCUGAUAAAGUGAAACUGUUAAAUUAAAAGUAAUAAUUUGUUAUUGCCCUGCGAAGUACAUGAGAAGCAUGUUUGUAAUGGCCCAAUUUCGCCUGGGCCCAGUUUACAAAUAAAUUACAAACCAAAAAAAAAAAACAAAUUACAUCAAACCGAAAAAGCCCAAUUUACAAACCCAAAAUUAACCCAAAACCUAACCAAAUCCUAGCCCACUAUCUUAACAUUUCAAAAAAUCCCAAGCUCUAUCCAUCUUUAGUUGUAGCCGCUACCUCUCCCACGCGCGCCGCUCCUCCACGUCACCACCAUACGGCCUCC
This 413-nucleotide long non-coding RNA is filed under the name Gossypium raimondii (Peruvian cotton). Its description in RNAcentral is "long non-coding RNA (GRAI_LNC008419)". Lineage: Eukaryota; Viridiplantae; Streptophyta; Magnoliopsida; Malvales; Malvaceae. The record is from RNAcentral.